UCAGCUUGUCCGGGAACCAACUGUCCGGCGGGAUCCCGAGAAGCGUUGCUAAGCUAAGCCAGCUGACGCAAAUGGACCUGAGCAGGAAUCAGCUCACCGGCGGCAUACCGGCAGAGCUCGGCGCCAUGCCGGUGUUAAGUGUCCUUGACCUGUCGUCGAACAAGCUCUCCGGCAACGUACCGCAGGCGCUUGCGAAGCUACAACUCACCUCCCUGAACCUGUCCUCGAACCAGCUGAGCGGUCAGGUCCCGGCCGGGUUGGACACAGCGGUCUACGACACCAGCUUCCUCGACAACCCCGGCCUCUGCACCGCCGCUGCCGGAUCCGGCUACCUCACCGGCGUACCUUCCUGCGCCGGCGGAUCACAAGACGGCGCUUCCUCCGGAGGCGUCUCGCACGCACUCCGCACGGGCCUCCUCGCCGCCGGCGCCGCGCUCCUCCUAAUCGCCGGUGCGUUCGCCUUCUUCGUCAUCCGCGACAUCAAGAAACGGCGGCGCGUCGCGGAGCAAGACGACUGGAAGAUCACGCCUUUCGUAAAAGAUCUGGGAUUCGGUGAGGCACCCAUACUCCGGGGGCUGACGCAGGAGAACAUCGUCGGCCGCGGGGGAUCGGGGCGCGUGUACCGCGUCGCCUACACCAACCGGCUUAACGGCCGAGCCGGCGCGGUGGCCGUGAAGCAAAUACAGACCGCCGGGAAGCUCGACGAGAAGCUGGAACGCGAGUUCGCGUCCGAGGCUGGCAUCCUCGGCAACCUCCGGCACAACAACAUCGUCAGGCUCUUGUGUUGCCUCUCCAACGCCGAGUCCAAGCUCCUCGUGUACGACUACAUGGACAACGGCAGCCUGGACAGGUGGCUCUACGGCGACGCCCUCCCCGCCGGUGGGCGCCCCAUGGCAAGGGCGCGGUCCGCGCGGCGCGAACCGCUGGAUUGGCCGGCGAGGCUCAGGGUGGCCGUCGGCGCCGCGCAGGGGCUGUGUUACAUGCACCACGAGUGCGAGCCGCCCAUCGUUCACCGGGACGUCAAGACGAGCAACAUCCUGCUGGACUCGGAGUUCCGGGCCAAGAUCGCCGAUUUCGGGCUGGCCAGGAUGCUGCUGCAGGCCGGGGCGCCCGAGACGAUGUCCGCCGUUGCCGGAUCGUUCGGCUACAUGGCUCCUGGUAAGGAUCCGAACUUGCUGCUUCCAGUGAAUUUCUGUCCCAUUUCUCCAGAUUCAAUAACUGGGGAGCAGCACUGUUACAAAUGCCACAUGCUCUCGUGUUGCCGGACCUUAGAUUGGGCCUUUUGAUGCUUAUCUGCAGAGUGCGCUUACACCAUGAAGGUGAGCGAGAAGGUUGACGUUUACAGCUUCGGCGUCGUUCUCCUGGAGCUCACCACCGGAAAGGAGGCCAACGACGGCGGCGAGCACGGCUGCCUGGCGGACUGGGCACGGCACCACUACCAAUCAGGAGGGAGCAUCCCCGACGCCACAGACAAGAGCAUCAGAUACGACGGGUACUCUGACGAGAUCGAGGUUGUCUUCAGGCUCGGCGUGCUCUGCACCGCCGAUAUGCCGUCGUCGCGGCCAACCAUGAACGACGUGCUGCAGAUCUUGGUCAAGUGCAGCGAGCAGACGUACCACAAGGGCAAGACGGAGCGUGGCCCAGAGUAUGAGGCGGCUCUGCUACCCAAGCGCGGCAGUCGCCGGAAACAGCUUUCAAACGACUCGGGGAUCGACAUCGAAGAGAAGAUCGACUUCGACAGCAUUGUCUGAAGAAAGGAACUGACCACUGCAUAUGCCAGUAAGCAGCUUGUGACAUCGUCAGUGAACUGCUUGCUAUAGUGAUACUUCACAUUUUAGCAUAGUACAGCGGAGAAUUAUGCGUCUAAUCUUUUUUUUUCUGAAGAGCUACGUGUCUUUAUAUUAAAAGAGAAUAUAAAUAGAAAAACCGGUCUCUUGGAAGCAACCACUCUAGCUCACCUAGGAGAAUAGAGAGAUUGCAGAAAUAAGCGAAUAAAAACAUCGUCACCACACCUUGACCCUGCACGGCUGGACUAGGUACAUGCAUAGAAUAGAGUAGGGCUUGUGGCUAGCCAAACCGUUCUGUGUGUUGAUACUGCAAACUUGUAAUAAAUCACACACAUAUUAUACGUUCAGAUAGAAGAACUAGCAAACAUUACGAUUAUCAUUUCUUUCUGAAACAAAUAUGUUUUGGCUAGUUUCAAAUAUGUUUUUUUAUUUUAUUAGACAUUUAAAACAAUCUGAUUUAAUCUAAAAAUUCAUAACUAAUUAAUUUUAAAUCAUAAAAAUAUGAAACUAGUACCCAUCUUUUUCUAGAAUGUUACCUUCUAUGUUGUUUUUUUUUGGGAGUUAUUGGCAUAUUAUUGUUCCCAUCUCUAGUGUUUUAUUUUUUGUAGUCAAACCUGCUAUUUAUUUAUUGUUGUUUUGCAUUGUAUGAUUAUUGGAUGCUAUGCCAUACAAAUCUAAUUGUUCAGAAACCUUAUGCAUCAUGAAGAAAUUAGUGGAUACAAUUAAUAUUGGUACAUUAUGAACUUCCCAUCAAGAAAUAUAUCUAUACAAUGUUUCAUAUGAAUAUUUUUAAUGCACCUUGAGUUUUUGGAUAAACUUUUUUCAUAAAAGUUAAUUAGAUGCAUUCUUAAUUAAAUAAGCUAUUUGGGUAAUUUUUCAAAAAUGUUUAUUUAAAUAAUAGAAAGUUUAUUUAUUUAUUCUGGAAAGAGUUUCCAACUGGUCUUUAGAGGCCCUUUCGCUUCUGAAAAAGAUUUCUUUCAUCUUUUUUUAAGUUUGGGAUAUUGCCGCACAUGGGAAAGACCGAUACUACGCUUUUUUUCCCUACAAAUGGAAAAUGAGAUUUUUUUUUUGAGACUCAAAUGGAAAAUGAGAUUGAGUAGUGCUCUUUUUUCCAGAUCGUGCCAUCAGCGGGUAAGAGCAACUCCAACAAUUUUAUCUUACUAUUACUAAUUGGAGACUCCUUUUGAAGUUUCAUGGUGAAACCACCUAGGAUCCUAGGUGGACACUCUAGAAAAAGAGAUAAAUCCUAAAAAUUCUCACAAAAAGCAAAACAUCUGGCCGUCAAUCAGUAAGCUCAAAUCAUCAUAGCCAUUGGAUCUAUUAUGUUUUCUAAAAGGUUACUCACCUCUGACAUUAUAGAAAAUAAACUAAAGUAACCCCCUAAUAUUUAUCAAAAUUACCCACUUCUGCCAUUAUAAAAAUAAUUUAAAAUAACCUCCUAAAUUUGCAACUAAAUUUCCCACCACUAAUACUUAAAAAAUAACUUAAAAUAACUCUUUAAAUUUGCAUCUAUAUUAUCCACAUAUGCUAUUAUUAAAAAUAACAUGAUGCAACCCUAAAUUUGAAUCCAAAUCACCUUAAUUAAAAAUAUACACCAAAAUAUGAUUCGAAAUCAUCUACAUCUUACACUAUUGGUAUAUGAUAUAAUAAUUAAGGUAUAUACGCAUGGGAAAAUGAUGAAAAAAUAGAUUUCUAUGUUAAAAUUAUAGCUCAAAUGUAGGGUCCAUUAAAUAAAUUCAAGCGCAUACUUGCGAUGCAAAGUGAAAAGUUAACGAUUAUAAAAGUGGAUGGAAACAUUAUAGAGUAAUUAUUAACUAAAAUCUAUCACAAUCGGAUGAAGAUAUAUCUAUAUAAGUAUUGUGUUCGAAUAUUUAACAAGUGAGAGGCAUCUCAAGGUAAUAAUUUUUGUAGUAAUGUGGUCUCAUUUUUUUCCAUAGGAGACUCCAUAUUAGCUCUCACAAGACACGGUAGAAAAAAAGAUAAAUCCUAAAAAUUCUCAUAAAAAUUAAAAACAUCAAACAUGAAUUAUGUAAACUCUAAUAAUCAUAGCCAUUGGUCUAUUAUAUUUUCUAAAAAGUUACUGACAACUAUCAUUAUGAAAAUAUUCUAAAAUAAACCCUAAACCUAUAUCUAAAUUAUCAAGCUCUACCAUAUAAAGAAUAAUCUAAAGUAAUCCAUAAUCUUCAUCCAAAUUACUCAUGUAUAUCAUUAUAAAGUAUAACUUAAAGUGGCAUUCUAAAUUUGUAUCUAAGUUACCCACGUGUAUUGUUACAGAAAAUAAUCUAAAGUAAACACAUAAAUCGUAAUCUAAUUUCUUCAUGUGCAUCAUAUAGAGAUGUCCAAAAAUAAACUAAUAUAUGGUUUUAAUACUUAUUUAUGUCAUUAUUAAUAUAUAAAUACUAAGUUAAGGUAUGUAUGCAUGAUGGGUGUCACCAUGUAGACCAUUUAUACAUGUUGUGAGGAAGUAAUGUGAGUUUUAUGCUAAAUGCAAUGUAUGGAGGUGCCAUACAAAAUGAGAAAAGUGUGAAUGUGGAUGAAAAAUUGUGUGGAGUUAUUACUAAUUAAAAAUCAAUUAUGACUGGACAAAAAAUAAGUACACGUCUAUAUGGGUGUUAUGUUGGAGUGUUGAAAAAAAUGAGAGAGUAGUAGGUAGACAAUUUUGAUUAUUUAGCUAAGAGUUUAAUUUCUAAAUAAUUUCAAAUACGAUAGCUUUUAAAAAUAUUAGCCCAUGCGGGAGCACGGCUUAAUGGACUAGUAACACUUAAAUCAAAGCUCCUCAAUAGGAGUUAUUUUUUGAGGGCCAAAAAAAAACAUCUAACUAUAGCAAUAGCCUUCAAAUCAGAAUCUCCAAAGGUCAAAUAGGAAUUAUUUUUUUAGCCAAAAAAUACAUCCAACUCCAGCAAUAGGCCCCAUGGAAAGAGGCCAGUGACUAUAUGUCGCAUAUGUGAUUAUCGCCUACUCGCGACAUAUAGUCGCUGCUAGACGGGACCCACAGGACACCUCCGCCUCCGCUUUCUUCCUUCUGCCGCUGCAGCGCCGCCACCAUGAUUCACCGUCGGACGGUUAGGGUUUGGGGUUUCGGGGCUUUGAGUUCUGGGUUGUCGGUAACAGGGAGCUGUGUAACAUCCCACUUUUUAGAGCAUUUAGAAGUACGGACUUUUCAAAAAAAAAUUCUUAAAACUAAACAUAAUCUUUUUCUUUAUAUUCAAAAUCAUUUUAUAAACAAACCCUUCAUUAACCCACAUAUGUGUUGCACUUGGUUGCUCUUUUAGCACCUCCCUUCUAAAUCCCAGAGAUAGAAUUUCUGAAUCUUUCAUUCCUUCAAACCCUAGAAAUAAUAUUCAAAACCCUUUGAAUACUAGUUAUAUCCAAAGCCCUAUAAAAUUUCCAUCUCAUCUUAGACAAACAUUCCUAAAUCAAGGAUCCUUCCAAAAGCCCCAUUUUUAUAUCCUAUCCAAGCCCACACCUUCUUUUGUAUUUAGAUUUGAAAACUAUUUCAAAUUUGAAUACAAAUCCCUUUAAACAUCCUUCAAAUAAAUAACCAAAGCCUCUAUUCCCUAACCAGGCCGUCAACUUCAUAUUCAGCCCACCAUCCAUAUCGGAACGGCUCACAACCCAACUCUCCCCCACUAGCAGCCCAUGUAUGCUCGGCCCGAAUCGCCUUCUCCCAGCCAAGCACCCAUCCCUCCUCCUAGUCCACCGACGCGCGGUCAGCACCGCUGCUGGCCGGCACCCCUUCCCCCGAUGCCUCCAUGCCGCGUCACAGUGCCGCGUUUACACGCCACCGCGACGGUUAACCAUGCCAGGAGCAUCUCCCCCGCCCAGUUUAGCUCCCAAGAAACCCUCUCCCUGACACCAUAUCAGCACCAACCCAUCUCGACGGCCACCUCACCCAACCACAAUUAAUGCUACCGCCAAUCAUCCCCGGCCGGUCUAAUCCGACCGCUGUGCGCCUCCCUUCUCUCUUCCUUUGCAGCCUAAGCAACAUAUGCGCAUCGACGUGGCUACCUUCCCUCAUCCGCUACCCCCUGCCGCACCUAUCCAAGUGGACCGCGGUCUAACUCCAUCGGUCCCGCCGUCCCCUCGCCUACCUCCCCACCACAUGCUCCCAGCUCAUGAACACCGUAGACACACCCCGCACCCUGGUCCACAGCCCAAGUCCACCGGUCUACCGCACUGUGACUGUGGCCCCCGCCCGCUUGCACUAGCCGCCUCUAAAUUGUUAUACGCACCCAACUUUUGUACACCAGAAGCUACUUCAAGCCCUUAACCACCUCCAAAAAUUCACCAAAAAUCCCAUAAAAUCCUAGAAGCCUAUGCAUGCCUUUCUUUCCUAUAGUUUACCUCAUAUGAGUCCCUUUUCUAUCUUUUACUAUGACCUUAGAGCCCAACCAUAUUAGGAAUAUGCCACACCGCCUCCACCCGCUGUCGUGACCUAACCCCUAGGUGUUAGGCCGGGUCGAAGUUAAGUGCGUCGUGCGGCCUCUAGCCACCUUUCCUACGUCGUUAACAACACCGGUUGCCUAUUCCUCGCUGCCCUAUCGUCGCCGCUAACCCAUAUCGUUGCCACACAUCUGCUUGACCUUGCCCAGCCCCACCUUUCGUCGUAUGACUAUCCCCUUGCAUUGACUCAUGUUGAAGCGAUGACCAUUGUGGCGGAACCGCCCAACUUAAGCUGGUUUAAGUGCGCCUAAUCGCUGUCGGAACAGCAAUUAUCCGAAACGCACCUAAAACAGCAUAAGUCCGGUAGUCCGUCGAGUGUCCCUAGGACUCCUCGAAAGAUCCACAACGUGUUUCAUAGCCAUACAUCAGGAUAGUAUCCGCGAUGGGAUAAUAUCAACAAACAUUAUAUUUUUACAUAGAUAUAAAAGGUACAAGUUAUUACAGAACAUAGAUUGAAGCAAACUUAGUAGUGCAGUGUUAGACAGAGUCCUAAGAUUCGAACAUAAACAGUUCAGGAGAAGAUGAGCAUUUAAAAACUUCUUCUUAAGGGUAUUGCGAGACUCAUGACAAUACCCUAGGGCUUCGGGGCUUCCUCCUCUGUAGACUCCUGCGGAGCUUCUGAAAGAUAGCCACAAGGGAAAAACCCUGAGUACGGGGUACUCAGCAAGUCUUACCCGACUAACCAAUAUAAUAGUUUUCUUUGGAAGUGUAUGCUAGCUUUUUGGUGUACUUGGCUUAACACAACUCUUGCCGAAAAGCUUACUACGAGUGAUGCCUUAGUUUUAUCUUUUAUUUGGGUUAAGUUAUUACCUAACCAUUCUAAAUGAUGAACAGGAAGUAAAAGCAAUCAUAGAUAUUAAGUCAUACAUUAAAUAUUAACAGAAAGAUAUAUAUAUUGCAUGAAUUGAUACUACGAUGCUUAACAGUGAUCAAGUGCAUUCAUAACCGAGAAUUGCGGCGAUCCGGAUCCAUUUACAUCCUGCAGGAGAGUACCCUGAUCACCAGCUUUAUACGACUGUCCAGGUCGUACAUAACAACCUCUCGAUUAGCAACAUCAAUGAUUAGGAAUACGACUACCCGGACCCAGGGACGCACCUCCACAUGGGACCCCACGUCUGGCCCGAUCACCAUGUGAGUUUCAGGCUAUGCCCCUGCCAAUCUCCAGCACGUCAAGCGCGGGUACGAAGUAUUCCCGAUCAUAGAGUUUACUAACCUACUGGGCUUUACUGGUCCCAUACCCAGUAAGUGAUCAGAUGCUUAUCACUUGAUCAAAGGUUAAGACAACGAAUCGGGCCUUAACCAAAUUAAGCUAGCAGACAGAACUACAUCUAUAGCUUCUGUCCGCGUCUCUACUGCUAAGUUAUCCUUCUAUACAACACAUGUAUGACUCAAAAGUUUUCCUUAAGGUUGGUAAACCAAGUAUGUAAGCAAGUAAGCAAUUCUAGACUUGGUUAUCUUCUAAGGUUUGAACAAGUGGCAAAGAUGUCCUUAAAUCAAGGUAUGAUCAUGCACAAGAAUAGGUUUCAAGCAACUCCUAGACUUAGUGCAUACAUAAAGCAAAUCCGAUAACUGGACACAUGAAAUAACGACUCCAAAAUAGAUAGGUAUAAAUGCACCGGGGCUUGCCUUGUUCGCUUAAAAAGUUAGUAUCCUCUGACGGGUUGGCUUCACAGGGGACUAAUUCAAAAACUUCUCCGAACUCCGAAGGUCCUUCUGAAAAUUCCAAAUAAUCUCCUUCUGGUGCUUCGGGAUCUAUAGCAAAGUAUGCAGGGGUUAGGAAUGCAAAAUUUUGAAUAAAAGACUAUACAACUUUCCUUCAUGAUAAAGUUGCAAGCCAACAAGGACUAUACAAUUUAUCAUGAUAAAGUUACAAGUCAACACACAAAGACCCAAAAAGAUUAGCCCACAAUUUUAUUUUCUUACUUAACCCUCCUUAAGGCUUUUUCUUUUAUCUUUUAGAAAAAGUUAUAAUUAAUUUCUAACUUGAAAACCUAAUUUCCUAUGAGUUAAGAAUAAUUUGUGAUUAAGAAAAUGUUAUUUCAUAUUUUAUGCAUUUUCUAAAGAUUAAGUAUUUAUUUAAUUACCUUAAAAGAAAGGCAUUAAAUAAAUACCCAAAUUUUAUUAUUUUUCUAGGGUGUAAAAAUUUUAAUGCAUAAAGGAAAAUAAAACAAGCCUAACAAAAUUGGUUUCACUAAUUUUGGACACUCCUAGAAAUUUCUGUGAUUUAAAUGGUGUAAAUCGGAUUUAAACUAAUUACUUUCUAAAGGAAAUCUAAUUUUUCCCGAAAAACGCCCUGGAAAACUUUUCUUACGCAGCUCCAACCUACCCUCUCUCACGCGUGCUGGGCCCCACGGCGCGGACCCACCUUUUCCUAUUCCUUUCUACCCGCCGGCCUUUUCUCCCCCUGACGGGCCCUUUGGACCGCUUUCUUUUUCUUUUUCUUUUCUCCGGUCCGACACCGGCCCACGGCCCUUUUUCUUUUUCUCUUCCCUCGCGAGCGCGGCCUGCUUCCUAUUGGGCCUCCGGCCUCUUUCUUCAGCGGUCGACCGCACCGGCUCCUUGGGCUUCCGUUGCGUUGGCCCAACAACACGCCCGCGCUCCGACCUCCUUUGCUCCCUCGCCUCUCUGACGCGCGGACCUGACCCUUCAGCGUCUUCUUCUUCCUCCCGCCAAAACGCGCGCGCGACAGGGGGCGGCGCGACUCGCUGGCCGGCGCCCCACCGGCGGCGAAGCUGGGUCAGGACAGCACCCCUAUGCCUUCACGCACCCAUGCGCGGCAACAGCUCCUCGGGAGAUGGCCGGAGCCAUUCCCUCCACGGCGACGGGCGGCGACACCUUCGGCCGGGCGCGACUAUUCACGACGACGGCACAAACUACUCGAACAACUACUCUUACACCAUCCUAGUACCCUAAGGACUUGCCUCCGACUACUUAAGAAGGAAGGGGAACAUCGCAAGGUAGUGCUCACCGUGAGCGGGUGGCGCGGCGACGGCGGACAGAAGCGGCGGCGGUUCAAGGCGUGUCGGCGAAGAAGCUGGGCAACAAGUUGCUAGGGUUGCUGGUGGGGUGUGGGCGGAGGUGUGGACGGAGGGAAUCGACGGGAGGUGCGGUGUGGCGGUGGAAUUUUGCUCGGCGGCGGCGGCUCGGUCAGAGGAAGUGGCGGCGGUAAAAAGGCAGCGGUAGAAACGGCGGCGCGGGAGCGGUAAUUAUACAAACGUCUUACCACGCGCAUGGUUGCCACCAUGGUUUACCCAUAGGCUUAUGUGGUGAGGAGGUGGCCUAGCCGUUGCGCUGGCGAGCGACCGACGACGGCGGCGGUGACACGUCCUGCUGCUCUGUCAUCGCCUCCCCCCUUUUCUUUUAACGCCCGAAACUUCAGAGCUCUACCACGGUCGAUUCCAAAACCGACGGUCCCCAAGUGCCUUAACCGAAGUUGGAGAUAAACUUGAACCCUUAACUUUUUAUUUUGGCUCUGACCCGAGAUAAGCACCAAACAUAGCUGAAUUUUGAAUUGUUUCCCGUGUUCAUCUGAAUGUUUCUGAAAUUGACAUUCAGUUUGUCAGUUAACUAACAGUGUCACUUGCUUCACUUUGGGAUUAAGUUUAGUGAUCCAAUUCCUCUCCUUUCGGUCCAACUUCUUCCCAAAUGUGUUCUACAACAUCCCAAGGUUCCAUUUUGCUCAAGAACAACUAUGCUUUUUGAUCUACAUUGCUCUGAAUUCAAGUCCAAAGUCGACCCUAUGCUGCUGGUUUCAGACUUAACCAUUUUCAGGGUGACAGUCAACUGUGACAAUGUGCUGACUUUGAGCUCAAUUUCGAAAUUGUUCCCUUCCAUGUUCCUGGCCAACAACACCCAAAUCUUGUAGUCCAAAGUCCAAACUUUAAUAUGGUGUAGUUGUUCUUAUUCACUUAUUUGAAAAAUUUAUCAGAAUUCAAUUUCCAAGAUGGACUCUAAGGCUGUUUUUCUGAAUUUCUGUUUUCAGACGAGGAACAGUAACUUCAGUUUUCCUUUUUCUUUCCUUAAUUCCUUUGAGAUAUUUUGGACCAGUUCUACUCCAAAUUCUUGAUCCUUAAGUUCUAGUUACUCUUACACUUGUAUUCCACAUUUUUGCCGAAUUUUUCUGAAUUUCAAAUUCAAAAUUCAAAUUUCGGUCAAAUUUGACCCGAAUUUGAUUUUCGGCCAAUUUCUUUUUCUUUUCUUCCCAAUUUGCUUUUAAUUCUUCAAAGUCACUUAGACGACUAAAUUGGCAGCUGUUACAACCAUUAGGCAAGCUCUCAAAUUCUACUUUUACGAAGCUUGCCGACCUCCACCCGCCGUAGGGUCGAGCCUGGGACAAAGCCAAGCUCACCGUGCAAGUUUCCUCACCCUAAACUCCAUUCCCACCACCUAGCAUCAAAAACACAUAUAAGGUCAAUCCUAGAACCUAGCUGAGAUGCUGCCCGACUAAAACCUCGUACCAUGACCCGAUCUAGCCGUUAUGCUGCCCACUCAAAAUCUCAUCCCUGAUAAAAUCCAGCCAUUAUGCUGCCUACCUAAAACCCCAAGUAACGCCCAAACCUAGCCGUAAUGCCGCCUGACCAAAAUCUCAAUUAUCAUCCAAACCUAGCCAUUGUGCUACUCGACCAAAACUCUAAACGACUCUAGGGAAUUAAUCAUUAAAUUCCCUAGAAUUUUCUGGAAAUCCAACCACCCAACCCAUUAAUUAUUUAAAGGGUUUCUAAAUAAUUAAUGGAUUAUCCUUCGAAUACCCAGGAAUUCACCCUUAAUUGUCAGGUAAUUCCCAGAAUAUUCAUCCUUUUCCUUUCUUUUCAUUCCUUAGGAAUUGAUUGGUGUAUGUUUUAUUGAUUAUUAUUUUAUGCGCUUUUACGAGCCGGUAGACUACUAGGCUUUGCUCGAAGCUAAGGAUCCAGAUGGCUCAAAGCCGAGAACCCUGGUCGCCCUAGAAGAUGUUAAGGAUAUCCGAUGAAGGCAAAUCCCAACCCUUAGCUUAUGUUUUAUCCUAUUGAGUGUGAGUAAUAAUAUGACCAACCUAAUAUGGACUACAUAGUUUUAUAAAUAUUUCUUUAUAAUACCUGCUUGCUAGAUUUCUCCCAUUUUUUCUAUUGAAAUGCCACAUUGUUAACGCUUAUAAUUGACAUACUUUUACCCCUGUUUAUCUUCAAUGAUGACAUGAAUUUAAUACCUAAACUAUUGAUCACACCUAAUAAACUGGUCAUUUUUAUAUGUGCAAUAUAUUUUGGAGGAUAUUCUGUUUUUGCAGAAAAUUGGACCUAAAGGUACAUUUUUGGAUAAAGCCUAAAACAAGCAACAAACCACAUGAAGAUGAAGGCCAGCGGGCCCAUGAAGGGCCUAGGCCGAUCGGCCUAUAGUAGCCUAGGCCGAUCGGCCUAGGGUCUCCAGGUCGCCUCUCGAGCUUCUUUUUGGCAAGCAAUCCGCCAAGAUGACUGAAGGCUAAGUUUAUGAAGAUAUGACAAGAAUUAGUUUGGGAUCAAAGAGGAUCAAGCAGAGAUUUAGAAAGUUAUGAGGGAUCAAUCUCAUCCCAACCCACCCAGGCCCAUUGGCCCAGGGGUUUCCUUUGCCCCCUCGCCUUCCAAUUUUUGCCACGUCCUCUCCAAACUAUAAAUACCCCAAAAAUCCACAUAUAAAAGACAAUGUACUCGACGUGAAGCAUCAGAGAAGUAGAAGGAGCUUGAGGGACACCUUUUCGGAGAGCCGAGGGCUGUGCAGUUAUCUAGUGGUCCGCGAGAUCACUGUUGGUAUAAUUAACGAAUGUGAAUAAAUCCGCAAGCGCAUGGAUACCAUUGUAGCUUUCACCUCAGAGUAUUCCAAGGGUAUCAAAUCCAAGGGAACGUGUGUGUACUAACUGCUAUUCUAGUCGGUCCAAGGACACAUCAAGAUAGGUGGCGAGGGUAGAGAGGUAUCCUAAGGUAGUAAUAUAGGUGAGUUAAAGGUCGAUCUCUCGAGUCAGAAUACUCACUUCAGGCAUCGGCUUACCCUGAAUGAGUCAGGCACCUCCGGCCAACAGCUCCACCAUAUAUCCAAACAUGGAGGAUGACAAAGGACUAAUAGGGCUGUCACCACCUACGGCCUACCUCUGCGGCUCGUGGGAUAUACGACCAAUGAAGGAUCACCCUUAGCCUAGACACCACAUCUACGCUAUUGAUUACUACUGCAGCCUAACUACGUCUGAAUCCCCAUAGCAGAAUACAAUACUCUAUAUAAAUAUAGAGCGAUGAAUCCGCGAGUAAGAGAACUGAUCUCACUCAAGUACAGAUACUACUAGUGUAUACUAUAUCAAGGUCUAAAGGUAUACAUGAUAGCAUACAAGCCUAUACUCUGAUAGCAAGGGCAUAUGACUAGCAUACAAGCAUAUAAGCUAAGCAUAUAAACAUAGCAAUGAUAUGAGACUACUCACGCAUAUAAGAACCAAAUAUAACACUAUAGGAAGGAAUCACGAACACUAACUUACUUUACUCAGGAGGUAGCCAGCAUCUGUAGAGGUAUAGGCUAGGAGGAGAGUGCCGACACCCCGGCACUCCUCCCGAACUACCCCCUCACUUUCUCCCUAUUCUAAGCACAAGCUAGGCAAGGCUUUGCCUUUGGAGUGAAACACUAAUUCUCUAUUGAAGCCUCCCCCCCCCUCUACUAUUUAUAGAGUGGAGGUGCCUUGGGAGAGUGGAGAUCCUCCAAGAAUCUCAAGGGAAUAUUCUUUCUCCAACCUCUCUCCUUGUGCCACCUAGCAGGAUCCGAGGCUUUAAGGUGGUAACUCCCGACGAAACAGUCAUAACCGCCUUUAGGAAGUCACCAAGAGCCGCCACGUAAAAGCUGCGCACGAGGAGUACCACCACUGGUUCGGCUGAACCCCAGGCACCGCCUCUCACGCCGCCCUUUGUCUGGGAGGCUGCCUGGUGGUCCCUCAAGUUGGUGCAAGGUGCACGCACCAAAUUAAGGUGGUUUACCCCCUAAUGUGAGCCCAUGGAUCUGUGUGCUUUUCUAUGAUUGUCUGGAGUUGUGUUUCUUUGCCGCUUGGGUGUGUUUCCUCCUCCUUUCUAAGGAUAAGUAACCUGUAUACAAAUAUUCACCAACACUUGUGGAAAUGGUUAGUAAUAAACCCCUACCACUAGUUUGAUGCUCAUCUUUCCGGUAUUUAUGCAGUUGUUGACGGCCUAGAAUUGGCACUUAAGAGCCAUCAACAAUCACCCUGCGAGGAAGAUCCAUGCCAGAGUUUUGGCUAGGAGUCAUCAAGAUCAAUGUAGGAUCCCGGUAGUGAUCUUGUGAUGUACAAUCAUUCAUGGUGAAGUAAUAGAUGUGUUCAUGUUUUUAGCGAUCUAAGUAUCUCCUUCGAUGGUUUUAUGCUCUUUUGGGUUUACUUACUUUUCAAUCUAUGAAUCAAUUAUAGGUUGCUUAGGGUGUUCUUGUGGUCGUGGUGAUCGGAUUUGCAUGCCUGAUCUACCGAUGAACAUGUUCUUUUGAUCGUGCCCUUAACCUACUUGCGCUAAUAAAGGUGAUCAUGAUAGGAUCUUUUUUGUGUAAGGUGGGUAGGGAGUUUUGGGAUCCGAACUGGAGGUGUAGAUUUAAACAUACUUUUUACUAGGAUCAUAUCUAUGUUUCUUUGCUAUCCAUGCUCAGAAUUACAACAUAUGCAUAGUCUAGGUUGCUCUAGAUUGGUUACCUCUGCUCUAUCUGUUAUCUGUCUGUACAUGUGUGACGACCGGCCCCAAAUCUUCCAAGUUAAUCUUAAUCCGAGCCCCUGAUCACCAGUCUUAGCUUUCCAAGCCUAAGUGUUCAACCUCCCGACCGGUCCCGACCCCUAAGACCCGACCCCUCCCCGCUUGUCUCCAGUUCCGACCCCGCAAAACCCAGCUCACCGUCGGAUCCUUCUAAGUCCUUCCCAAAACGUCCGUUCUAUCUGACCGGUGGACCCACGAGAUCUUUUUCCCCCAGAUCUUCCGCGACAGGCGCACUCGAGUUGCAUGCCCGCUUCAGAGUUUCCCCGCCGCGUGGCUCAACUUCUCCGACGCCCGCCGCUCAGCCUCGUCUCUGGCCCGCGACCGAAUGGAUUCUCGUGCCCCCUUCCCCAAUUGCAGCGGAAGCCCCUCUGCAACCUUUCUGCAACACCUCGCCUCCCGCGCCCAUCAUCACGUCGCCAGAUCCCGGUCGCAGAGCCCGAUGUUGCCCGUCUUUUCUAUCACUUCGACACAGUCGCGCCGCCUGGUCUUCGCUACCCGACGAUUCCUCCUCCGCCAACCCUGACCACGGCAGCGACAGCUCCUUUCCCCGUCCUGUCAGAAGCCGCUCGACAAUCUGUUGCUCCGCGCUCGCCCGCGCGCCCGCGGCUGCCCGUAUUCUCACCUGUGCGCCCUCGUUUCUAGCGCCGUUAACCCGGUCACUUCCAUCAACUCUACCGCACGACGACGCCCGCCUCCGCCAAAUCUCAACCACCGGCAUACCCGCUCCUGCACCGCCCUGACGCCAGAGCCCAAUGACCGCUGGCAUCAUCCCCGAAGUUCUGCACCACCGCCCUCGUCGCUCAAUCGCCGCCCAGGCAGAGCACUCCAUUGCUUCUUCCCCGACCUUCGCGCCGCUCCUCUUCUCACUCCUGCUCCGCUUCCCUUCUCCCUUCCCAGCCGCUAUAAAAGGGAAUGCGCGAGCCCCGCCGAAGUUCCCUCCACCAUCACUGCCUUCCGCCAUUUCUCUUGCUCCCUGCUCGAGCUCCCAGCGCCACACACUAAGUUACUGAGGAACUCUCCUCUUCGCUCCACUCCGUUUUCCCCAAACCAUCCAGCCGCUUGCUCCUCCGUGCUGCGUAAGAGCUCACUUGUGAUCCACAAGAAGCACCGCCGCCGCCGGAGUACUGCCGGACCCAGCCGUUGUUCAAAGCCUUAGCCCCUCCGCCCAAGCCUGUUUCUUCCCAACCCCAAGCUUUCCUUGUAGGAAGAAGGUAAGCUGUCGACCCCUGGUCCGCCUCGUCCGACCCCUGUCCGCUUCACCCGACCCCUCUUAUCCGCCCGACCCCGGUUCCGUCUCACCCAACCCUGUCUGUUCCGCCGACCCUUCUCCGCCUCGCCCGAGGGCUCGGCUGUAACCUUUUUCUUCAAACCAAGUGUGUAUGUGUAAAACUUGGGAACCCUUCAGCAUUGAGUCUGAGGUUCCCUAGCACACCAAACCCUCUCGUUUAAGGGUCAGAUCAUAAGUUCCUUUCCUCCGACCCUUACCUCUUGAUCUCCACCAGCUCCCUUGAACCUUCCCACCCUCCUGCUUUUUUUGUCGCGAGUUUCUGGGCUCAGACUUGCAAGUGUUGCUGUUGAAAAAAAAAACCGUCUAUACUAACUAAUGCAUUGCAUUCGUGUAGAGCUGCGCCUCGCCGAUGGCUUCUACGAGCUGCACCCGGUGCCAGAAGACGACGAUGUAGCUGAGCUCCUGCCCUCUGAAGCCGAAGCCGCCCCAGAAGUCGAGCAGUUCUCUUCCUCCUUGCUCGAAGGCAAGCCCCGGAUGCAUGAAAACCCUGUGUUGUUUUACCAGACUUGCGCAUGCCUUCUGUAACAUGCUUGUGCAUUUACGUAUAGGAGUUGUUUGAAACCCUAGAUGCAUGACUUAGUUGUUCCCAUGAUCUGAACACUAGCUGUUGGACCGAGUAGCUGCUUGCUUAAAUAGGAAGCGAUAAAAGUCGAGUGAUUUCCUAUCACUCGCGAGUUGUAGGAGUUGGUUGUCUACUCUUCUGUUACAACUGUAAGGAUGAUGGACGGGGUAGGGUUUUGGGUAACUCUUUGGUGGUCGGUUGAUCGCCCCGUCUAUCUAUGAAACCUGACUAAGGCCCGACAGUGGUGGUGUUCGUGAUCAAGUGUUUGAAAGUACUAACCUCAUACUUAGUAUGGGAUGAGGAAGCCUAGUACCGGAUUGAACCUAGACGUGAGCGGUCGCCCCAUUGUUCUUGGAACGGAGUUUCCCCUGCUGGAUGUCGCACGUGGUGGCAUGCGUGGUCACAGAACGGCAGAGGCCGGGUCUGUGGAACCUUGCACCAAAAGAAAUGGGCCCGACACGGGUUAGGGGAUUGAUGGGGAAGGCCGACACAGGAAGCGACCUCCGGGUGCGCGGAUGUUGUGAGGUUAGGUUCACCAUGCAUGGUUAAAGAACUCGAAUUGAUUCGUCUGCCUCUCACAGUUUGAGACUGCUUGAUCGCUAUGUCACCCUGAGUAAAUGAGGAAUCUGAUGAUGACAUGGUUUUGUUGUUAUAUAUACAUACCUUGGUUGAUUCUAUGAUUGUUUAGCAUAGUUGCAAACUUAGACCGGAUAAUGAACUUAGAACCGGAGCUAAAACUUGAAAAUAGGGUUUUACUUAGUGCUUUUGGCAAACAAACCCCUCAGCCAAAAAGCCUUGCAUGUCUAGUUCUGUGGAGUAGCUUUACUCCCUGUCGGUUAAGCCUUGUUGAGCUUAGUAGCUCAGCCUUGUUGUGGCUCCUGUUUUUCAGGUGAAGUUGCUGCUCCCGACCCUUCUCCCGCUAGCACUUGGCCGCCCCAGCUCCCUCCGGGUUGGACGGUCGAGUGGGAUCCCUCCUCGGACGGCGAGGAGAGGGAUCAGUGAUGUCCCGGUUGGCCUCACUAGGGACGUCCGACCCCGACGUUUUGCUUCCGCUAAUGGUUUUACCUUCUGUUGACUUUCUGGAAACCUUGUAAAACUCUGAUGUUUAUUUCAUAACCAAAUUAAAUGGUUAAGUUGUUAACUCGGUGGACUUGUUGUAGUCUCUAGAAUCGCUCACCUUCGUGUGGGUCUGCUAAAUUGGUCCUGUUCAAGUGGUUAAAUCGGAAGAAAUCCGUCGGCACUUCGUGUUUACUCGGCUUAGGCAUGAGCGUCGCGUAUUAUGCGGCUAAAUCAUGUUUAACCAAGUAGAUCCGAAGUGGAUCCGCCACAACAUGCUUAGUAGAUUGGAUCUGAAUCACCCAUCAACACCAAGUUAAUACUAACAAUGCUAGUUGAAAUAGAUCUUGUGCUAUAAGUUCCACAGAUUGAUAAACCUUGGGCGAGUACUCUGAGGGUAGAGCUAAAACUGAUAUGUGCACUUGCGGUUUACAAAUUGGCGUGCUAACAGCCGUCAACACACAUGCCAAAUAAACCCUAGGCAACUACAUUUCCAUAAGCCACCCCAUACCAUAAAGGUGGAUAAAACAUUUGUUGGAUCCUCUAUGGAGACGAUCUAACAAAAUAUCAUUUUAUAUACAAUAAAAUGCUUAGGAAGGGUUUUUCUCUUUUGGGAAGGCGUGAGUUAAAAGAUAAAGUGAUAAUAAUAGCAACCCCUAAGGUAUGUUUUUGACUUGAGAGUAAGGGGAUGGCCUCAGUGGUGGAUACUCUAUCCCAAAGCUUACUCUGGUCAUAUAAGAACCGGUUCAUUGGGCGAGUCUUUCUUGUGAACUGUACAACCAUACAUGCCAAAAAGGUACAACCUUCGGGAGUACCUAUCUAUGUGAGGUCUUGGUUCAAACCCCGCUAGCUGAACCUAGUCAUCCAUCCCAAGGGUUCAAGGUGGGCAAUGGGUAUAUAGGAGCAGGACCUUCGCAUAGUCUUAGAUUCGGUCAGCACAGGUCAACUGUUGAGAGGGCUGGAGGCCCUGAUAAUUUAUUCAUGCAUGCAUUUCCCGGGAUAGUAUCCGCAAGGUGAAUGUUAGUGGCCCCCUAUUUAGACCCUAAUAUAUCCAUGGAUGGACCUAGGGAAUGCUGUCCAGAGAUGGACACGGGCGGGUAUGGAUCUCGUAGGCCAGUACCGCCUGAGUACUAGGUGUGGGCUGGCCGGACAUAUGGGGAAAGUGUACACCUCUAUGCAGAUUAUAAUCUAUUCGAAUAGCCGAGGCUCACGGUCACGAGCCCACUAAGUCAAAGCCCCCUAUGAUUACUCUUUGAAGCUCUUUGGGUGGGAUUAGUGUGUUAAACAUACUGGAUGAAGUUGAAUGACCGGAUUCCAGAACUAAAACCUAGGGACUGAUAGGGGAGGUAGUUUUCCCCGUCCAGAACCACCACUCCAAAAUUAACAUGCUUUUAGAAGAGUCUUUUCAAUUCUCACCUUUUAAUUCACCUAUAUAUGUAGGAUUAUACCUAUAAAUCAUGUUCCUUAUCCACCUCCUAAAUUGCAUAUAAUUACUUAGUAAAUAUUGGGACUUGCUGAGUAUCAACCAUAAGUAUACUCAACCUUACUUUCAUCAUGCAGGUGUAGAUCUUCAGGUGUUAUAAACCAUCUUGUUAGUGGAUGGGCACCACUUCACUGCGUUAAGGUGAAAACAUUUUUUUAUUAAAUUAUACAUCUUUUAUUGCUUAAAAUACUAAGCUAUGAUGAUAACGGUAUCAGCCUAUUGAUCCAGGAACUAAUACAGGUGAUCAGCGGGACUCCCGAAGGGAGGUCCCCACAAGCUAUCUCCGGUGUGGCUGGGAUAUAGAGGAGGUCGUUGGUGGCUAGGUAGCAAGCGGUGGUGUGCGGGUUGUGUGCGGGACGGCGGGACGCCACCGGCCGCUAUCCGUAGUAGACAACAGGUGGCCUCUGGAGGCGGCGGGGGAGCCACGGCAAGCUCCCCGGCAGGUCCGGGGUAGCGCGGCGAAGGAUGGUGGCGGCGGAUUUGACGGCACGAGCCGCCGGAGAUCGUGGAGGAUGGCAGCGCGGGAGGGGGUGCGACGGUGAUUGAGGGCUGCGACCUGCGGUGGUGGGAACCACCGGAACUGGAGGAGGAAAGAGUCGCGGGAGCAUAGGUUGCGCGCACUCCUGGACCGCCAUCACCGAAGGCGACAUCAGUGAUUUUGUCGCCUUCAGUGAUAAAUAGACGCGCCCUAGAUAGAUCUCCGAGAAUGGAGGGUAUUUCGAGGACUUCUCAAAAUAGGAAACCUAGUAUAUUUUUAAUUUGGUACUCGUCAACAACUAUUACUCUAUUAGCAUCUUUUAAGAUAACACUGAAAUAUGGUAGUCUCCUACUUUAUGUGCAGUGUCGUUGCGUCAAAUACGUGUGAGGUCGCGGACCUGAGCCUCAGCCGCUCAGGCCCACGGGCACAAAAAGACUCGAAUUGCCGUGUUUGACGGAGCACUGUGGGAGUUCUGCUGUGCUGUCCGGUCUCUGGUGACCGUUAGAUUAGCGAACUGACCCCGAACCCGUUGAUUAGCGAUGCAGUCAAGAGCAAAAAUCGAUUCCUCUAACUGCCAUCAAACCAUAUUAUUCACUGGUGGUUUGAAUCCAAAGUCUUCCAGAGCACCAGCCAAGGUCGGCACGUACUACUAAUCAAAGGCAAUUCGACAGCUUCGCAGCAAGCACCUCCUGCACGGUCUGCUGCCAAAGUGUGCACACCAAAUAAAAGUCUUCUUUUAGACCAGUAGUACCAAAUAAAAGUCCAAAUCCCACGCAGCAAACCGAACGGGGCUCGUGCCAGUCUAACAAAAACUGGGGACUCCCGCUCCCUCCGCAUUUGAUUGCACAAGCAGAUCGUCCUCUUCCUGCGUCCACCUCGCGCCGUGGCGGCCGUGCUGUGCCGGCGUGCACAACCAACGCCACGCCGCGAAAACAAACCGGCCGAGACAUGGACACACCACGCCGCGCGUCCGUGUACCCGCGUAUCCUCGGUCUCGUGCUCGUGCUGCUCCGCGCGGCCGCGCAGCCCCCGCCGGCGGGCGAGGCGCGGCUGCUGCUCGAGAUCAAGCGCGCGUGGGGCGACCCGCCCGUGCUCGCGGGGUGGAACGCCACGGCCGCGGCCGCGCUCUGCAGCUGGCCGCACGUCGGGUGCGACGCGUCCGGGCGCGUCGUGAACCUCACUCUCGCGAACGCUAACGUCGCGGGGCCCUUCCCUGACGCCGUCGGCAACCUCUCCGGCCUCACGUACCUCGACGUCUCCAACAACAGCAUCAGGUCCGUGUUCCCGAGCGCGCUGUACCGCUGCGCUUCGCUUCAGUACCUCAACCUCUCCCAGAACUACUUCGGCGGUGUGCUCCCGGCAGAAAUCGGCAGCGGCCUCGCCGCGAGCUUGACCACGCUGGACCUCGACGGCAACGAGUUCAACGGCACCAUCCAGGCGUCGCUCUCCCGGCUCCGGAACCUCGAGUAUCUCGCGCUGAACAGCAACCGCUUCACCGGUAUCAUCCCAGCGGAGGUUGGCGACCUGACGAGCCUGCAGGUACUGUAUCUGGAUAACAACCCGUUCAACGCAGGCCAGCUGCCGGCGUCGUUCAAGAAUCUGACCAACCUGGUCAGCCUCACGGCGUCGCAGUGCAAUCUCGUCGGGGACUUCCCGAACUUUCUUUGGAGUCUGAAGAAGCUGCAACAAUUGUAUCUGUACACGAACAACAUCACCGGCGACCUGGUAGUUGAUGGAUUUGCUGCUAGGAGCUUCACACUAAUCGACGUCUCGAAGAACAAGAUCACUGGAGUCAUCCCGGAAGUGUUUGGGAGCUUGAAGAACCUCACAGUCUUGAACCUCUUCAUGAACAACUUUACCGGUCAGAUACCGGUGAGCAUCGGCCUGUUGCCGUCACUGACAACGUUGAGGCUCCACACCAACAUGCUUAACGGCACGCUCCCACCGGAGCUCGGAAAGCAGUCGGCGGGCCUGAAUUAUGUUGAGGUUGACUACAAUGAGUUCACCGGCGUGAUCCCGGAAGGGCUGUGCACCGGAGGCAACUUACAGUACCUCACCGCCAAGAGCAACCGAUUGAACGGCUCCAUCCCGGCAGGCCUUGCCAACUGCACCACUCUGGAAACCCUGUCGCUGGACAAUAACCAGCUCUCCAGCGACGUGCCAGAGGCUCUCUGGACGGCAACGCAGCUUUACUUCGUGACACUACAGGGUAACCAGCUCACCGGAAGUCUUCCUGCGACGAUUCUUCUCAACAUUUCGACGUUACGCAUUGGGAACAACCAAUUCAGUGGCAACAUUCCGGCUGCAGUAGCUGCUCUCCAGGUGUUCACCGCCGAGAACAACCGGUUUUCUGGUGCGAUACCGGCGAGUCUUGGCGACGGCAUGCCGCUGCUGCAAAGACUCAGCUUGUCCGGGAACCAACUGUCCGGCGGGAUCCCGAGAAGCGUUGCUAAGCUAAGCCAGCUGACGCAAAUGGACCUGAGCAGGAAUCAGCUCACCGGCGGCACACCGGCAGAGCUCGGCGCCAUGCCGGUGUUAAGUGUCCUUGACCUGUCGUCGAACAAGCUCUCCGGCAACGUACCGCAGGCGCUUGCGAAGCC
This 21427-nucleotide long non-coding RNA is filed under the name Setaria viridis. Its description in RNAcentral is "long non-coding RNA (SVIR_LNC006070)". Lineage: Eukaryota; Viridiplantae; Streptophyta; Magnoliopsida; Poales; Poaceae. The record is from RNAcentral.